GCCUGGCAGCCUCACCAUGGCCUGGACCCUCCUGCUCCCCCUCCUCACACUCUGCACAGGUCCUGUGGCCUCUUCUGUAGUGAAUCAGCCCCCAGCAGUGUCUGUGGCCCCGGGACAGAAGGCCAGGAUCACCUGCCAGGGAGAUCUCGUAAGAGAAUCUUAUGCAAGCUGGUACCAGCAGAAGCCCGGCCAGGCCCCCGUGUUGGUCGUUGAUAGUGACGAAAACAGGACCUCAAAGAUCCCUGAACGAUUCUCUGGCUCUGACUCAGGGGACACAGACACCCUGACCAUCAGCGGGGCCCAGGCCCAGGACGAGGCCGAUUAUUACUGUGCGGUGUGGGACUACAGUGCUGGAACACACAGUGACACAGGCGGAUGGGGAAGUGGGACAGAAACCUCCUGUGUCACCCUCUCCUCCAGCCCCGAGGACUGCAGACCAAGCCCUGAGCAGGUUCAGCCCAGGUCCCAGAUCUCAGCUCCCCAGCUGCCUCCUCCUCCCGCCUCAGGCCGCUCUGCAGGGGGAGGCACAGAGCAGAUUCACUCUGACAGGACAGGGCUGCCCUGA
Non-coding RNA from Myotis brandtii (Brandt's bat), 565 nucleotides. NCBI's taxonomy places the organism in Eukaryota, Metazoa, Chordata, Mammalia, Chiroptera, Vespertilionidae. The record is from the annotation of a RefSeq genome assembly.